UACAGAGGGGGCAAGCGUUGUUCGGAAUUACUGGGCGUAAAGGGCGCGUAGGCGGCCCGCUAAGUCGAACGUGAAAUCCCCAGGCUCAACCUGGGAACUGCGUCCGAUACUGGCGGGCUUGAAUCCGGGAGAGGGAUGUGGAAUUCCAGGUGUAGCGGUGAAAUGCGUAGAUAUCUGGAGGAACACCGGUGGCGAAGGCGGCAUCCUGGACCGGUAUUGACGCUGAGGCGCGAAAGCUAGGGUAGCAAACGGG
RNAcentral lists this ribosomal RNA (253 nucleotides) under uncultured bacterium. Its description in RNAcentral is "partial 16S ribosomal RNA". It matches the Rfam family "Bacterial small subunit ribosomal RNA", at positions 524 to 776 of the family's 1533-position model. The record is from RNAcentral.